CAAGAAUGGAAUUUUUGCGUUAUGAAAUUUGUGAACAAAGCCAUACAAAUUUUCCCACGUAUGAGCAAAUUUACAUGUAUAACUAUCUCGGUCGAAUUGUGUGCAAAUAAUGUGCAAACAAUUUUUGCACACUGUUAAAGUUGCAGAAUUAUUUUUAGCGUGCAUGGAUUUGAAACAUGUUGUCAAAACACGAAAGAAGAAAAAUAGAAAAUCGAUUUGUCGGAUCGGCGGUGUUUGAAAAACAUUUUUUACGUUCUAUUUGAGUGGUAGGCAGUGAAAAGAACCAGGCACAAGUAUUGGGGAACCGAGCACUUUCUAGAAGUGCUGCUGCGGGGAAAUAAUCAUCCUUGCGGAAUCGUCAAUUCCUGGUGGACCAGUGUCUUUCCGGUCUUUCGCAAACCCGGAGGAUGACCGCUUCAUUUAUCACGGCCAACCAUCCUUCACCUGAAUCACAUAUCGUACGCGAUCCCGAGGAAAAGUGCAUUAUUUAGGUGGCUGCCAUGGAUUCGACGCCCAGUGUUGAUCUGAAUGCAGGAGUAAUUAUAAUGUAAGGAAUGACUCCGACUCGGUUGUAUUGUCUAUCCGAGUCAUUGCUGUAACGUCGCUCAACCGGCGCCAUCGAUGGACUAGUGAGCGCUUUUCAGUUUAGUGUUGAACGCAUUAAGGUUAUUCACAAAUUUCAUAAUGCUGAAAACUUAAAUGAACUUAAACAUUUUAAGAACUCCCCGUACCCCUUUCAACGUUAUAAAAUUUUCCCCUUACGCGCGA
RNAcentral lists this long non-coding RNA (768 nucleotides) under Aedes aegypti (yellow fever mosquito). RNAcentral describes it as "lncRNA AAEL025860". The record is from RNAcentral. Lineage: Eukaryota; Metazoa; Arthropoda; Insecta; Diptera; Culicidae.